AGUGAACGCUGGCGGUAGGCCUAACACAUGCAAGUCGAGCGGAGAUGAGGUGCUUGCACCUUAUCUUAGCGGCGGACGGGUGAGUAAUGCUUAGGAAUCUGCCUAUUAGUGGGGGACAACAUUCCGAAAGGAAUGCUAAUACCGCAUACGUCCUACGGGAGAAAGCAGGGGAUCUUCGGACCUUGCGCUAAUAGAUGAGCCUAAGUCGGAUUAGCUAGUUGGUGGGGUAAAGGCCUACCAAGGCGACGAUCUGUAGCGGGUCUGCGAGGAUGAUCCGCCACACUGGGAGUGAGACAGGGCCCAGACUCCUACGGGAGGCAGUAGUGGGGAAUAUUGGACAAUGGGGGGAACCCUGAUCCAGCCAUGCCGCGUGUGUGAAGAAGGCCUUAUGGUUGUAAAGCACUUUAAGCGAGGAGGAGGCUACUGAGACUAAUACUCUUGGAUAGUGGACGUUACUCGCAGAAUAAGCACCGGCUAACUCUGUGCCAGCAGCCGCCGCCG
RNAcentral lists this ribosomal RNA (501 nucleotides) under uncultured bacterium. Its description in RNAcentral is "partial 16S ribosomal RNA". It matches the Rfam family "Bacterial small subunit ribosomal RNA", at positions 29 to 523 of the family's 1533-position model. The record is from RNAcentral.